This is a long non-coding RNA of Populus nigra (black poplar), 456 nucleotides long. RefSeq lists it as uncharacterized. NCBI's taxonomy places the organism in Eukaryota, Viridiplantae, Streptophyta, Magnoliopsida, Malpighiales, Salicaceae. The transcript has 2 exons. The record is from RefSeq and is a predicted model, not a curated record.
CCCUCGUUCUCUCAUCUCUUUCCCUCCCCUACAAAGCACAAAACAACCUCUCUUAGUCUUUUUCUUUUAAACUUCAAUUUAUCCCAAGUAACUGCUCUCUCUUGCACCUGCACAGCUGUAUGUGACUGUCCUACUUUCUCAAGUCAAUUUUAUGCAUGAUUAGGUGGAUGGAAAAUUAUACAUAUAUACUUGGAGUAUGUGUCUGGUGCCUCCAUCUAAAAACUACUUCAAGAAUGUGACCAAUUUGGUUAAAUAGCUAUUCGUAGCUAUACUCAACAAAUCUUGUGUGAGCUUGCUUAUUUGCAUGCUAAAAAAUAUUAUCCACGGGUAAGCCUUAUUGUUUUGCUAUCUCAUGGUUUUGAUAUGGAGCCACAACUUACUCUAAUCACUUAUAAACAUCAUCAUGCUUUUGUCAUAAAUUUUAAUGAUAAUUUAUAGGGGUGUUCAGGGAUAUAA